Molecule: transfer RNA, 90 nt
Filed under: Kocuria varians
Lineage: Bacteria; Bacillati; Actinomycetota; Actinomycetes; Micrococcales; Micrococcaceae
Description: tRNA-His
Source: RNAcentral
CGGGGACGUGCGGAAGGGCCGGCGGCCGUCGUGGUCCGCCGCCGCACCGGGGCCGGUGAGCGAGCCGCUGUUCGACGCGUUCGUCGCCGC